AUCACACCUGCCAGACCUGGGUCACCCUUUCCACAUCUGGGAUCACAUUUUCCAGAUCUGGAUCACACCUGCCAGGUCUGAGCUCACACUUUCCAGAUCUGGGAUCACACUUUUCAGACCUAGGAUUACUUUUCAGAUCUGGGAUCACACCUCCUGCCCAGCUGGGUCCAUCCCUGCGACCCGGAAGGCCUGAAAUCCCUUCCCCCACCCUCUCCCCUCCUCAGGGCUCUCCCAGCCAGGAGGGAACACCCCAGGGAGGUUUUCAAACAGCAGGAAAAUUAAGGCAAAGCCUCACUGAGAGGAAGGGCCAACCCACCCUUGCCCAAAUUGGGGAUUUGGGGUGUGUUUGCUGGAAAGACUCAAACAACUACGUGGAUUCUGGUGCUCCCAUCCCUAUGGUACAGUGAAGUUCAAUCCAUUCAGCCAAAAAAAAAAAAAA
Molecule: long non-coding RNA, 439 nt
Organism: Ficedula albicollis (Collared flycatcher)
Lineage: Eukaryota; Metazoa; Chordata; Aves; Passeriformes; Muscicapidae
Exons: 2
Source: RefSeq, a predicted model, not a curated record